Molecule: unclassified non-coding RNA, 1155 nt
Filed under: Hevea brasiliensis (rubber tree)
Lineage: Eukaryota; Viridiplantae; Streptophyta; Magnoliopsida; Malpighiales; Euphorbiaceae
Source: RNAcentral
AAUGGGAGCUUAAUUCACCAUCCAAUGGGGUUCGCACUUUGGCCUUAGUUGGGGUUAUCUGUUUUAAUGCGUUAUCAUUUCUUACAAAAAAAUCACUUUAAAUUUAUGAAUACUUACUAUUAUUCAUUCUCAGUAGUCUUUUUCAAUUUAGAGUAUGAGAACUUUGAUUUAUAUUCGAUUUUAGACUUUUUUUCCCCUAGGUCACUGUAUCUUUAGAGUCCCAAUUAAUUUUAGAGCUGGGAAAAGUAUUCCUCUUUAUUAUAUUAUAUAACAUUAGUCAUUCUCUUGAUUGUAUUUCUCUAAAUGUGUAGGUGGACUGGUUGAAAAAGUUUCCUACCUUAUGUUGAUUGGGUAAUUGGAUGAUAAGUAAAAUAUCGUAAAUUCUUGGAUAGAUGGUUAUUUUUAAGAUAAUUUGUUCAUGUGUUUUGAAGAUGAUGACGCGUAUAAUGUUUUCAUGAUGUGGUUUGGAAGGAUUUUUUAAAGGGCGUCAGGGUCCUUCUCUUGGAGGAGGAUAGCAGUUAUGUUGCAGAAAUAAAAUCAAAACUUGAAGCAAUGGAUUAUAUUGGUUAGAGAUCCUGAUUUCCCCUUUUGUUCUUCACCAUUUGCAUACAAUUUUAAUUUUUUGUUCUGAAUUAGAAAUUUUGAUUGCAUUGUUAAAUGUAUUUCACCUAACUUUUGAUGGUUCAAAUUUAUUUCACCUAACUUUUGUUGGCUAUAGAUCCCCAUCUCUUUAGAUUUUCAGUAUGUAGUUCUUUAUGCUAAUUGGGUAAACUAUACUCCUUUCUUGAUGUUCCUUAAGUUCCUAUAUAAUUUGGCUAACUUUUAGUUGCCAUUCCAAAAUCUUUUUGACAAGCUUUUUCUUUUUAUCCCUCAUUUAUUGAUCUUUAGAUAUUCUCUGUAUGAAAUUAGAAUACAAGGAUUUCUCAUAAAACCAAUAAUAUGAUAUUAAAAAUGCAUCAUAAGAUCUCAAUGCAAAAAUUAUGGUUUUCUUUCUUCAAUUGUUGAUAAGAUUCUUUGUUUCUUGGUCUACUUUGUUGUUUGUUGUUACUUGUCAUGUAAUGUUAUAGUGAUUUAUUCUCUUCCAUUGGACUUUCUUUCUGCAUAUAUUCUAACAUUACCAUGCUCUUUCCAGUGUCUAUAUUCUGCAAUGAGAAU